GCAAGUGGGGACCAGUCGGUCAGGGGCUGCACCUGCCCCAGCAUCCCUGGCCUGGGUGGAGAGGGGUGGAGGCCCCACAGAGGGGUUUUUCUCCCACAGCGCCUGACUUUGGUCCCUGCAGGUGAAGGAGCUUGGUGCUGUCAUCUAUAACUGCAGCCACCUGGCCCAAGACCUGGAGAAGACCUUCCAGACCUACUGGGUGCUGGGGGUGCCCAAGGCUGUCCUCCCCAAAACCUGGCCUCAGAACUUCUCAUCUCACAUCAACCGUUUCCAGCCCUUUCACGGCCUCUUUGAUGGGGUGCCCACCACUGCCUACUUCUCAGCGUCGCCACCAGCACUCUGUCCCCAGGGCCGCACCCGGGACCUGGAGGCGCUGCUGGCGGUGAUGGGGAGCGCCCAGGAGUUCAUCUAUGCCUCCGUGAUGGAGUAUUUCCCCACCACGCGCUUCAGCCACCCCCCCAGGUACUGGCCGGUGCUGGACAACGCGCUGCGGGCGGCAGCCUUCAGCAAGGGCGUGCGCGUGCGCCUGCUGGUCGGCUGCGGACUCAACACGGACCCCACCAUGUUCCCCUACCUGCGGUCCCUGCAGGCGCUCAGCAACCCCGCGGCCAACGUCUCUGUGGACGUG
This 628-nucleotide small RNA is filed under the name Pan troglodytes (chimpanzee). Its description in RNAcentral is "retained intron". The record is from RNAcentral. Lineage: Eukaryota; Metazoa; Chordata; Mammalia; Primates; Hominidae.